AACGAACGCUGGCGGCAUGCCUAACACAUGCAAGUCGAACGAGACCUUCGGGUCUAGUGGCGCACGGGUGCGUAACGCGUGGGAAUCUGCCCUUGGGUUCGGAAUAACAGUUGGAAACGACUGCUAAUACCGGAUGAUGACGUAAGUCCAAAGAUUGAUCGCCCAGGGAUGAGCCCGCGUAGGAUUAGCUAGUUGGUGGGGUAAAGGCCUACCAAGGCGACGAUCCUUAGCUGGUCUGAGAGGAUGAUCAGCCACACUGGGACUGAGACACGGCCCAGACUCCUACGGGAGGCAGCAGUGGGGAAUAUUGGACAAUGGGCGAAAGCCUGAUCCAGCAAUGCCGCGUGAGUGAUGAAGGCCUUAGGGUUGUAAAGCUCUUUUACCCGGGAUGAUAAUGACAGUACCGGGAGAAUAAGCCCCGGCUAACUCCGUG
This 433-nucleotide ribosomal RNA is filed under the name uncultured bacterium. Its description in RNAcentral is "partial 16S ribosomal RNA". It matches the Rfam family "Bacterial small subunit ribosomal RNA", at positions 29 to 507 of the family's 1533-position model. The record is from RNAcentral.